GAUCAAGGGAAUUAGAGAGAGGAGCUUCAUGCUUCGGGUCAGGGAAGGAAAGACAUAGAAUUUGGAUUUUUCUUCUUCGUAGAGUUUUGGGAAGACUGAGGCAAUCGCUGCUGAAGUCAGUGUUGUAAUGGUGAAUCGGGAUUUUUAAAUGAAGUGGGUUUGAAUACUCUUGACUGUUUUGUAAAAUCGAGUUACGUCUGUGAUUGAAGGAUUAAAAGGGUGUCUAUAGGAUUGAGUAUGCGGAGUGAAUGAAAUUUAUUGGAUUAAUCUAACAGGACAGUCAGUGGAUACAAGAUCGUAAGUACAAAG
Molecule: long non-coding RNA, 309 nt
Filed under: Physcomitrium patens
Lineage: Eukaryota; Viridiplantae; Streptophyta; Bryopsida; Funariales; Funariaceae
Description: long non-coding RNA (PPAT_LNC010673)
Source: RNAcentral